RNAcentral lists this long non-coding RNA (1059 nucleotides) under Piliocolobus tephrosceles (Ugandan red Colobus). Its description in RNAcentral is "lncRNA (ENSPTEG00000002946.1)". The record is from RNAcentral. Lineage: Eukaryota; Metazoa; Chordata; Mammalia; Primates; Cercopithecidae.
AAAAAAUGGACAGCAAUUCUAAUGUACAAAAAAGCAUAUUAAAAAAUACAAAUGGUUAGUAUAAGAUAAAAAAAAAAAAAGGAGAUAUAUACUAUGCCUCUAUUAUUAACAUUUUAAUAUAUAUGUACAUAUGUGCAACUAUCUAAAAAGAGCCAUAAGAAUUUUUUUUUUUUUUUUUUUUUUUUCCUUUUUUAUAGAUAACCAUGAUGGUAAAUCAUCAAGCAGUUACACAAAAAACUUUUAUAAAAGUUUAAAUAACUAUAUACAAGAAAUUGAUAACAUUGAAAAAAAAGGUAUAUAAAAUCAACAUAAUUUUUUAAAUAAAUUGACAUAGUAAAAAAAAAAAAAAAAAAAAAACUUUAGAUGUAAAUGUGCUCAUAUGUACAUGUAUUUUUUUUAAUUAUAUAUCAUGUUUAGAAAAUAAGAAUGAUGAAUUAUUUAAUGAAGUGUACGACAAACAGAACUUACCAACAGUUCACCUAUUUAAUACAAGUUCGAAAGGUGGAAAUCGUUCAAGAUUGUUCGAUAACCAGUGGAAAAAGGACAAUGAUAAUAAUAAAAAUGGAAACGAAAGAAUAAACUAUGAUUAUAUAAAUGCUACCAAUGAAUACUAUAAGUCAAAAAACGUUGAAGAGAAAGUAACAAACACAGGAAUAACUAAUAAAAACUUUUUUUCAGAUAAUAAUGUGUUGCAAUAUGAAGACAGCAUGAAAAAUUGGUCCGACAAAAGUAGAUACUUGUACUUCGUUGAAAAAAAAAAAGAGGAGAGCGGUAGCAAGAAAGCUAGUAAAUUUAAAAAUGUAAAUUUGAAUAAUUCCAUUAUAAAAGACAAAUACUUACAAGCGUCUUAUAAACAUGACCCUACUAGUGAACAAACAAAAAUUGAAAAUUUAGUUUUAGAUGUCUUAAAUAACAAUUUUGAUGAUGAUAUAGAAUCUAUCAAAGGUGAAAGAACCUUAACCGAAGAUCGCCUAGAGACUUCUGUUGUUGUAAUAAUAAAGAAAAAUAAAAAAGAUUAAAAAAAAAGAAAUAAAAUAAAAGGUGUUCAUGUGUAUAUGC